RNAcentral lists this unclassified non-coding RNA (250 nucleotides) under uncultured Pleosporales. RNAcentral describes it as "sequence contains 5.8S rRNA gene, ITS2, 28S rRNA gene". The record is from RNAcentral. Lineage: Eukaryota; Fungi; Ascomycota; Dothideomycetes; Pleosporales.
AACGCACAUUGCGCCCCUUGGUAUUCCAUGGGGCAUGCCUGUUCGAGCGUCAUCUACACCCUCAAGCUCUGCUUGGUGUUGGGCGUCUGUCCCGCCCCCGCGCGUGGACUCGCCCCAAAUUCAUUGGCAGCGUCCCUUGCCCCCUCUCGCGCAGCACAUUGCGCUUCUCGAGGGCGGCUCCGGGGCGCGAUCCACGAAGAUGACCACCGUCUUUGACCUCGGAUCAGGUAGGGAUACCCGCUGAACUUAA